CACCAAUCAAGCCUGGCUUGGUAUUGGGCGACAGGGCCGUCACACGCCCUCCGCCCCAAUGACUGCCGGCGGGACGGACCGAAUCUCAGCGUUGUGAAUCAAAAGCCGCUGGCGAGACGGGACGGCCGUGCCGUUAAACAACCCCAUCAAA
This 151-nucleotide unclassified non-coding RNA is filed under the name uncultured Teratosphaeria. Its description in RNAcentral is "sequence contains ITS2". The record is from RNAcentral. Lineage: Eukaryota; Fungi; Ascomycota; Dothideomycetes; Mycosphaerellales; Teratosphaeriaceae.